Molecule: long non-coding RNA, 652 nt
Filed under: Papio anubis (olive baboon)
Lineage: Eukaryota; Metazoa; Chordata; Mammalia; Primates; Cercopithecidae
Description: lncRNA (ENSPANG00000039876.1)
Source: RNAcentral
AUAAGUUUAAGUUGGUGACUAACAGAGUUCAAUUUUCUUUCUUCUGUUUUGCUUUUUCAAGAUUAUUCUGCUUAUAUUUUGAAAUGAAGGUUUGAAGCCUGUGAGGAGGUUACUAUGGUAAACACAUGAACAAUAAGAGAGUUACAGUAAGACUGAGGCAGAGGGGAGGGUGCUCACAAAACUAGGUGUUCAAUCAGAGUCUAAACAAUCAACAAAAACAACAAAAAAGACACCAAAAAUAAUGCUAAAGACAGAAUUAUCUUUCUACUCUCACUGUACAAAUGAUUCUUCAAGAUUAUAAUGUGAAGAGUAAUUAAAGAGGAUGCAGCCAAAACAUGCAGGGAAAGGAAAGUGUCAUAGAGAUGUGUCUGGUAUCAAGUAACAAAGUGCCUUUGUGUUGAGCAUCCAUCAGGAUUUCCAGAAAAGGAAGAGAAUUGUUAUCAGUACUUGAAUAGCCCUGCUAGUGUCCACGUGUCUUUUCUCUCAGCAGAGCCCGUGAAAAUGUAUUUGUCAGUUAGGGGGAUGGCCUUGGUUGCCUCAGUCCUCACAAUUUCCAGGAAUUUCACAGACAGUUCAAUUUUAACUGGAAAUGCCAGCCAGCCUCCAUUUGUCUUCCAGCGCUUCUCCCUCUGAGUGAUAAUCAGUGAUAAUC